UGAGUGUGUGUUCAGAAGGCAGACAGAGAGAGGGCGAGAGAGAGAAAUAGAGAAGGAAGAGUGAGAGGAGAGGGAUAAAGGGAAACACAAAUCAUUAUUCACAGCCCUGCAUGCUACCAUGCUCUGAUCUGUGUGGAGGACAGAUAGGUGUCGAUUUUACUGCCAUCUGUAAUAAACUCUUUAAUACACAGUAUUACGUAUGAAGUGUAAUGAAAAGUCACCCAGAAGAUUUGGGUUAAUCUAAUGCACUCUAUUUAACUGUGUUGUAGGGCCACAACAAUCAAAAUGGCAGCUGAGACACAUGCUCUUUUGUUCUGUAGACAAAAGAGAGCAAUUGAAUUCAGUUUCCCAGGAUCUUUCACGUUUCACACCUGUGUGUGAAGCCCGCCCAUGGACCCAGUUUCAACUACCAUUGGUCGAGUGUGGCCUACAACCGAUGACGUUAACUUGUCAUUAAAGCCGGCGGACAGAUUCAAGCCGGUCUCUCUUUGUGAUCCCCUGGCUUGCUGUUAAGAGACCUCUAUUAUUGCACAUAUACUGAAGGAGUUUUCCCUAAUUUUUGGACAAAGAACAGAGACUCCAUUUGUCUGAUCUCACCAUUUUGCCACGGUAGAGUAAGAUUAACUUAGCUUUGUUUCCAGUACUCAAGUAAACACUAUUUUUGAUUUUUGAUUUUUUUUUCACUGCAAGACAACAGUGGAUUUUCUUAAGAAGAACGGAAAUGCAACCAGCUUCCCUUUUCCUCGUUUUCUUCAACGUCAACAACCUGCUGCUUUCCCUUCCACUGCUGCACGUGAGGAAUAAAGCAUAAAUGCGUCUUUUCGCUGACGAGCAUAAGACACAGGACGAGCCCACGCUGCCAUUCUGCUGGACAAAACUACUGUGAAUCACACAUGGGAGUGAUUUCCUCAAGUAAUCCAUCCCCGCGGUAGUGAAGAGAGGUUGCGCCGGGGCUUUCAUCUUGGUGGACGAUGUGAUGAACGGACUCAACAACGAGCAGAUACAGUGCACAAAGCCAUCUCCAUAAAGAAAAGGUUUUCCAGUUUGCUGAGGAAGAACUUGACUGGCCAGCAGAGAGACCUGACCUCAACCUCAUCCAAGACCUUUCAGACCCUGCUCUUCUUCUCCUGCCCACCAGUGUUCCUACUUUUGCCAGUCACCUGAGCUCGCACCUGCCUGCAGACAUGAUCCUCAAUACCCCAUUAUCCAAAGAGUUUAUACUAUAGACUUGCACAGUGGCCAGUCAUUUGCCACAGUGUGUAUCAUGUCUCCUAGUCAUAGCGUUGCAGUCCUUUUGUUUUGCCUGAAUCUGCCUGCCUGGAAUUGUGAUUUUGAACUAUGCUAGUUUUUUUUAGCUUUUUCCUGCCUGCCUUAAUCAUUUAUCUGUUUAACCUUUUGGUGUCCUGUGUUAUGCCUGCUGACAUUAAACUCUGUUUUUAAUGCUCCUGCUUUUUGAGUCUGUGAGUCUGCUUUUGGGUCAAAAGCUGUAUUUCUCAGUUUCCUAUUCUCUUACUGUCACUAUUGCUAGAAAGUACUGCUAACGUUUGGUUGCAUUCUUCAUAUAACGACUGCGAUUACUAUUGUUUCAAGUACUGAUGGAGCCGUUUAACUAUUACUAAAACCUCCAUAUGUCUUCCUGCUAUCCUCUUGCCCUUUUCCGACCACCUGUCAUUUGCAUGUUCCACUUUUAUCUCAAUUUCCUUCCGUUUUACUAACCCUUUUACAUUCUGUACAUUUGUGUAUCUUACUUUUCCUUCCUUCUUUCUAUCUCCUCUUUUCUUUAUCUGUCAUUUUCAAUUCAAUUUUAUUUAUAUAGCACCGAAGUUAUCUCACUGCACUUUUCCUAUAGAGCAGGUCUAGACCGUACUCUUUUUAUUAUUUACAGAGACCCAACAAUUUAACUUCUCCCCCAGUUCUCUGUGCUUUUCCUGUUUACUUGUCUUUUGCUAUUGUUUCUCCCUGCCUUUCCUUCACUCUUUAUGUCCUUCCUUCCUCUCUCCAUCUACCCCUCAUCAUUUUGUCAUUUUAUAUCCUUUCUGCUCCCUAUAGAAAACCCACUGAUGAUACAGAUUUAGUGCAUCAAAUUUGUUUACAAUGUAUGCCAUGUACCAGGCAGGACCAACCUGACCUGAAACCAAGUUUUUCUCAAACCAAACUGACAAUUAAAUUCCAGUUGUUCCAGAGGAUAGUCUUCUUUUCUACUUUUAAGUAGUGAUGUGAAAGUGAGGAGGAAAAAAAAAGUUAUGACAAGUUGGUGUAAAUAUUGAUACCAAGAUAUCUAAUAUAGCUGGUUGUUAUUGUUCAGAUGGAAUAUUUUCUCUUUUUCAAUUACAAAGUAAAGAUACUUUUUAAAAAUUUUCUUAAAAUUGACAAAUAUUUAAACUUUAUAAAAUAGAAAAAAUACACAUAUCUACCAGGUUUAAUCUUAACCACCAAUAAUGUAUUUCUCUGCUAUACUUGAGAAAUAGAAAACAAUGUCUGUUCAUAUAAGUUGUUGUUGACCCACCUCUGACAGCAUCACAUUUAGGAUGUAUAUGAUCCUGUCAGAAGACUUAAGCAGAGAGGGUGUCACAGCUGUCGAGGAAGUCUGACAGGUAUUUCAGGAUUCUGACCAGCUGGGUGUCAUCAACAAAGAUGAUUGGGGCUCACAGUUCCUCAAAAGUAAAGUGGGGCUGCUUAAAUCUCCCUUUUUUGCAUUUUCACAAAUAGAAUAAAGGCUUCACAAAUCUGAAACUGUGAAGAUAAAGAAGUUAAAGAGUCUCUGACUUCUCUGGGAUAAUCUAGUCCAGAUUUUCCAAGUGUAGGUAAAGUGGUUUUUGAUCUGGACCUGGUCCAAUGUGGUCUAGGUGUGAUAAAAGCAGUGAAAUCGCAGUUUUUUGCAUUUUCACAAAUACAAUAAAGGUUUUACAAAUUUGAAAGUGGGUUUCAGACAGUGUUAAGGCUGUACCAAAAAUGUCAACACGCACAGGGGUACAAAAAACGGAAGAUUGGUCGCUCAGCAAUGUAAGUUAAGUUUCCCUUAACUAAAAUUUUUCACACCAGAUCCAGUUAUUGUCAACCAAUCAGGUGCCACCAGUAACAGCCGAACAUAUCACACACAUACCGCCAUCGACAGUGCAGGCACCAGACAAUUAUCAGACAUACUUUAAUAUUAUAUUCCAUUUCUGCCAAUAGCUCCUCUUAAAUGUUACACAAAUGUUAAAUGGACCUUCUUCUUAGAAAUUCUUAGUCAUCAUAGGCUAGAUGCAUACAAGGUAAGGAUGCACGAUAUUGGAAAAAAUUACAUUGCGAUAUCUUUCGGCGAUAUACAGUGCAUCCGGAAAGUAUUCACAGCGCUCCACUUUUUCCACAUUUUGUUAUGUUAUAGCCUUAUUCCAAAAUGGAUUAAAUUCAUCAUUUUCCAAACAGUACCCUAUAAUGACAACGUGGAAGAAGUUUGUUUGAAAUCUCUGCAAAUUUAUUACCAAUAAAAAACGAAAAAUAUCACAUGUACAUAAGUAUUCACAGCGUUUGCAAUGACACUCAAAGUUGAGCUCAGGUGCACAGACCAAGCCAUGAAGUCCAAGGAAUUGUCUGUAGACCUCUGAGACAGGACUGUAUCGAGGCACAGAUCUGGGGAAGGGUACAGAAACAUUUCUGCAGCAUUGAAGUUCUCAAUGAGCACAGUGGCUUCCAUCCGUAAAUGGAAGAAGUUUGGAACCACCAGGACUCGUCGUAGAGCUGGCUGCCCAGCCAAACUGAGCGAUCGGGGGAGAAGGGCCUUAGUCAGGGAGUUGACCAAGAACCCGAUGGUCACUCAGAGCUCCAGCGUUUCUCUGCUGUGAAACUGGAUGAAUGGUAAGAAGUGACAAUGUUUAUCUGUGUGCAGUAAUGUUGCUAGGUACACGUCCUGCGUCUCUGACACAUUCAAAUCCGAAAGGUAAACUCACUAUUGAUGUGUCCAGAGGACGCACACUAUUUUUUCCCUGAUCAUGCUACAUUGUGACCAAAAAAAUCUGUGUUGAAAUCAUAGCAAUAAACAAAAGAAACCUCGCUUUUAGAACACAAGUUUUACCCGGAACGUUUUGGCAUUGUAUCAGUUGUAGUCAACUUAGCCAAGUCAAGCUCAUGUAGUAUCGCUGCUCAACUGUAUGGGAGCAUUACAUUUUUCCGGCUAGUUACAGUGAACAUGGGCACAGAUUAGUGUCAAACUGUAUGCCGACAUUGUUCAACUUAAGUCGGGUUUGUCUGUAGAAACACUUCAAUCACGUCAUUUACGACGGCGUCGAAUGUGUCAAAUAGUGUAACGAGACAAACCAGACUGGAAGGCGAGUCCUUCUCCCCACAUGCUUGAGCUCUACAAUGUGCCUUCACGUGUGCAUGUUAAUCAGUCCGUUGUGCAGCUCUUUAUAAACGAACACAAGGUCAGGACUUAUCAACAGGUCAGAGUCUUAUGAUCGUGCAUGACAUAUAUUUGUGUUAUUUAUUUUUUUCUUAUUAACAAUAUGCCAGUAUUUGAGUGCCUUAACUGUUACAGUAAGAAUUACGGCCAAUGAGCCACUGUUGAAUGUUUACAUUUUUUCAAAAUAAAUGGCACAAAGUUAUUUAAAACCCUAAAACCGAGGUACAUAUCGAACUGUGAAUUUUGUGUACUGUUACACACCUAACAUGAACAUAACCAUAUAACAUCAAACACGAGCUUAAUUUAAUUUGUCAAAAAACACACAUUUUAUCACUGUGUGUAUUUACGAUUAUUUACAGUAUGCGUACCUGUGUUUACAGGGACUGUCCAAUUUAUGUAUUUUUAAAGCCUUGACAUUUUUAGCCACACUAAAACAUCGGCAUCACAGAGCAGCAGCUUUUAUUAUUGCAGCAUUGAAAGUAAAGUCAAGAAGGUGCUUUACAGAAAAGUGUUUAUUAUAAAAUGAAAAGAAAACACUUCACAAAAAUGUAGCAGCAAACCGUACUGUACAUAUUCAGAAAUUCAGUAGGCCUGUAGCCUAACGAAUAAGUCAAACUGACGCAUUGUUCACAGCACCUGAUGAUUAUGAUGGUGAUGAAACGGAUGCCAUGGAUGCUGGUGUUCAGGUGAGUCUGGGGGUUAAUUUUAUGUAUAUGAGCCACCAACUUGAAUACGUUGAUUGAAUGUUCACAUUUAGACCAUUUUUCACUGGGAUUUGCAAUAGUCAAAUUUUUAUCCUCUACAAGGUGCAAACAAUAGCUUAUUGCCACUUUGGAGCCUAACAAAGAAACCACAUCUAAAUUUCACAGUUGAAAGCCCGUAUAAAUAUAAAAACAAGCCUCACGCAGGACUCAAACCCCAGUCUCCUGAAUGAAGGUCCUGUGUUUAACCCACUCAUCCACAUCUUCCUGUAGAUUUAGACAUUUUACCUUCACACUAAUCAAUAUCGUCAAUGUCUGUCAACCCAAUACUGAACAAAUUAUCUAAAUGAUAAAACAAAUUUGUGUUUUGACACGUUGAUGUUGUAACCAUAUUUUAGCUGGUUGAAAAGAGGGCAAAAAGAGGUCUUAGACAUUCAGACCAAAUAUCACCCAGUUUUCACCUAGAAAUCAAUGUUGAAAUCUCAGUUGGUGCUUACUGGGAUAAUGACACUUCAAAUCAAAGUUUGAUAGGAAUCAAAUGGUUUUAUCAAUGGUAAACAGUAAAUGGACUGAUACUUAUAUAGCGCCUUUCUAGUCUUUUCCGACUACUCAAAGCACUUUAACUACAUAUCACAUUCACACAUACACUGAUGUAUCAGUUUAAAGAAAGUAAAUCAUUCACACACACACCUCAGGAGAAAUUUGGGGUUCAGUGUCGUGUCAGUUGCCCAAGGACACUUCGACAUGUGGGCUGAGGGAAGCCGGGAUGGAACCGCCAACCUUCCGAUUGGAGGACGACCCGCUCUACCACUAAGCCACAGUCGCCCCCGCACAUACUUUAUUUGAUCGACUUUGACAGAAUGAAUUAGACACCCCAGAUUAAUUUUUCCGUAUUUAAAAACCUCAUUUUAGUAUAACUGAAAAUCCUAUGCUUAAAAACACCUUGACAAAGAACACCAAAGAGUUCGCCCUAAAUAAUAUUGAGAGAUUAAUCGAGGAAACCUUGAAAAUUUCAGACCAAUAUCUUCUUGUUGGAACUCCCUGAGUUUUUAUCCAGUCAUUAUUUUAAAUUAUGAUAGAAUUGUUCUUUGUGGUGAUUUUAAUUUUCAUUUUGAUGACUCUUCUAAAGCCCUUGCUGCUGAUUUUUUAAAUAUCUUUAACUCUUUUAACUUUCAACAACAUGUGUCUGGCCAAACUCAUUCCCGUGGCCACACUUUAGACCUAGUCUUUAGUCUGGGCCUGAAAGCUCCAUCUGUGGAAAUCAGGGACAUGUUUGUAUUUGAUCACCUAUACAUUGUUUUUAACUGUGAAUUACAGGCUGCUAGUACUGUCUUAUCCCGCUCUAAGUACACCCUCGUCCUUAAUGAGCAUAGUGCCUCAAAAUUCUGUACACUGUUCAAUUCUCCCAGAAAUGUGUUUCCCGAUUCUUCCAACACCAACGAUUUGGUUGAUUCUUUUAAUUACCUGUGUUCUUCAACCUUAGAUCUCAUAGCUCCUCUGAAAAAUAGACCAAAGUCAAAGACUAGAAAACAGCCAUGGUUGAAUGACAGUAUUCAAAGCUGUAAAAGGAAAUGCAGAAGAACAGAACGCAGAUGGAAGAAAUCAGGUCUCCAGGUCCACUUUGUCGGUAUGAAAGAAUUAUUACUCCUUUAUAAUAAGAUGGUGAAGGAUGCAAGAACAUGUAAUUUCUCUGCACUUAUUUCUGCCCAUCAGCACAACCCCAGAUUCCUAUUUAAGACUGUGGAUCAGUUAGUUAACCCUGCCUCUCCUUGUACCACUGCUGAUUGUGAUGCUGAUUAUGAAAAGUUUCUUUUGCACUUUGCUGGAAAAGUGGAGUUAAUAAGAUCUGGUAUCACCCCAAAUCCUGCCUUUUUAGAUGUGGAUCACCCGCUCAGGGAUUCUUUGAGCAAUUUUUCUGCUGUUACUCUGCCUGAACUCACAGAAAUCAUGUCUCUUAUGAGAGUAUCCUCCAGCCCUCUGGACAAAAUCCCAGCUAGGUUUUUAUUGGAAGUUAUGGAUUGUAUUGCCAAUACUGUUCUCCUUAUACAUGCUUCCCUUGGGUGAUGUCAUCCACAGACAUGGUAUUUCGUGGUAUUUUAUUUCUUUCUUUGUGAAGCACUUUGUACUUUGUUUUGAUAAGUGCUCUGUAAAUAAAUUUGUAUUAUUAUUUUUAUUAUUAUUAUCAUCAUCAUCAUCAUCAUCAUCAAGGAAACUACUACUGAGUAUAAUAAAACAUUUAUGAAACGUUCAAAAACUAUAGGCUUCACAGGGCUCGACAGUAACGGUUGCCAUUGGCAAUCAUUUUGAGAAAUUGGCAGUGUUUACAACAACACUUCAACGAGACACAGCUGCACCUUUUUAAGACACCACACACAGGGAAGUCAGACCGUCCGAGAGCGUCCAUUGCUAGCCUGCGAACGCCUGGCAGCGCAUCAAAAAAGUCCACCGUUUGUUAGGCUGCCUGUCAGUCAGCCUACAGUCCGGAUCCGUCUACUCUUCACCAACCACGCCAUUUACCCACUAACCAUCCCUUCAUCAUCUGUGCCGUCCAUUCCCGGGACCCUGCCACCCCGUCUGGAGUAGAGUACAGGAGGUAACGCCGGACUUUCUGGGGCAAAUUACAAAGCUGCAACUCUAAAAAGAGGUUUCACUUGGUCUAAAUUCUUGGAACUCCAAUUCUUCUGAGUAAUUGUGGAAACCAAGAAAAACAGAUAGUCUAACAAUGGCAUAGCCGUCAGUGCUGGGAUAAAAAAGUUUAAAUCGAAUUGAAUCGUCACCUUGAAAUUUAAAGUCAAAUCAAAUCAUGGAUUUGGAGAAUCGUGACACCCCUACUUUUUAAAAAUAAAUAAUUUUCUUCAUAUUUGUUGCAAUAGUGAUAUUUAUAUAAUACUGUUACAUUCUGAACCAAUGUCCAAUGCUCCUAAUGAUACCUUCCACAUCUUCUAGUGCACAACACCAGAGUUUGCAUUAGUAAGGAAAAUAGUAAGUUACUGGAUAUAACUCCAGUUCUGAGUACAUGCGUAGCCCUAUACCUGCAUGUUAUCGCAACCACAGUAAAGCACAUUAGUUUUAAUAUACUAAAACAUUUAUCAUGGUAAUGACGGUAUUGCAAAAUCCAUGUCAUAGAAGAAUGUGACACCAGUGACGGUUACAAAACCAGUAUACUGCCCACCCCAAGCCUCACAUCGUCUGUGAAAGUAACCGCGUCACAUGCAUGUUUACAGGCAGGUGAUACGCAGAUGCUGCAUGCACAGUGCUCGCUAUGUACUCUGGUGAAGGGGUGCACUUCUUGAUCAGUUUAUCAAACAACCAAAACAGGCAGCACUCAUUUUCAGGUUGUAGUAGGGGACUAGUGGGGCUUGCUUUGGUUGUUUGAUAAAUUGAUGAAGUGCACCAAUUCAAGAGAGCAAACUCAGUGUAUCCAAGAACCCUUAAAUCAGACUACAUUAUGUAAUAUCACCUUGUGAGUUUUUCUUUUGUAUCAAGCAGCAAAAAAGUUGUAGCAUGACCUGUUUGAGUUAAUUUGCCUUACUUGACAUUGCGCAUCCUGUCUUGUGACUAUUGCACAUGCGCACAUUGCGAUGUCGAUGCUGAAACGAUAUACUAUAUCGUGCAGCCCUAAUACAAGGUGACAUUUUGUCUGAGGACAUCUCAGAUUAAUCUAAUGAUUUGCAUGCUGAUGUUUAAGAAAAAGCCCUUGACCUGUUUGACCAACAACAAAAUAGGUUUGAUGAAACACAUGUUAAUGAUCAACAUGUCCCACACAAGGUUGGGACACUCUCACAGCAGGGGCUCCACAAUCACCCUGUUGACAUGCUGAUUCUGAAAACAAGUCAUUGUCUGCAGUGUGUAGGAAAUAUAUUACUUGUAGGAUUUCUUCAUCUAAUCACUUCUGUCAAAUUGCUUGUCUAGUACUACUGUCCCUCUGCUGCUGAAUGAAGAAGCCAAGUUCACAAAGACUCUUUACUGUAUUGUAUUCGGUAUUAUGACGGUACAGAUCUGACAAUACUUUUCCUACAAUUAUAAUAACUCAUUAGCUCACUCCCCAUAAAUACACCAUCAAAACAACAGACUAAAAUGUCUUAGUUUGUCAAAAACCUACUGACAGAUUAGUCGUAGCCUUAACGUUAGAAUAUUUACAUUAUGUCAGAGGAGUGGCAUUAGGCUACAGGAAAGCACAAGGCUUUCUGUCUGUUCUGCACUUUUGUCCUGAAAACUAGCAUCCGGUUUAGGAAGAAAAUCUGACACAGUUACCAUGUUUACACUAGCUGCACAUACAGAAACAUGUUCCCAACUCACUGCUAACGUUAGUCAUCUCUGCUCCAACUUGUGCCCGGAAAGCUUCGUAUCGUAACAUGUUUUAUCAGCUUGUGAAUGACUAGUAGACCUCAAAACCAUAAGACAUUUAAAAAUGCUUUGUUUUUCUGAUCCAGUAAGUUAAGUAAUGUUACCAGCAGUGCUCUUAGCCUGUGUCGCAACAAGUCAGGGCCUUGUACUGUAACUUAAUGUAUCUUCCCCAAUGACUAACUGUAACAAAACUAACACAACAGCAGGCUGCUGACAACCUCAGUUAAAUCAGCGGAUGCACAU
Siniperca chuatsi (mandarin fish) is the source of this 9672-nucleotide long non-coding RNA. RefSeq lists it as uncharacterized. The transcript is spliced from 4 exons. The record is from RefSeq and is a predicted model, not a curated record. Lineage: Eukaryota; Metazoa; Chordata; Actinopteri; Centrarchiformes; Sinipercidae.